This is a non-coding RNA of Vicia faba (fava bean), 186 nucleotides long. NCBI's taxonomy places the organism in Eukaryota, Viridiplantae, Streptophyta, Magnoliopsida, Fabales, Fabaceae. The record is from the annotation of a GenBank genome assembly.
CUAAGCUUGGGAGUUCUCCCUAGUUUUCAUCAUCGACAUCACCAUCGAAGCCGCAUCGGACGGACUCUGGUCGGUAAACCCUCUGAACUUUCCAAUCGAUGUUCCGUUGUUAGCAUACAUUUCUUAUUCAACCUAUUGAUACCACCAUUAGAGUUGUGUAAUCCUUCACCUAGGAUUUCCGAUUGA